AAGUUUAUAACUAUAACUGGAUAUAGAACUAUGUAAAACUAAGGAAGAAUGUUACCUUAAGCUGAGAUUACUAAUGAACCAUAGAUCAUUUAGUGAACAUGUAUGGAUGGGAACAUGAGAACAUGACUGAGUCUGAAACAUGAUACAUGAACUGAAUAUCGUGAACUGAAAUAAUUUUCUUAAAUUCAUGCCAUGCCACGGGAAUGGUCA
This 210-nucleotide long non-coding RNA is filed under the name Capsicum annuum. RNAcentral's name for it is "long non-coding RNA (CANN_LNC010187)". Lineage: Eukaryota; Viridiplantae; Streptophyta; Magnoliopsida; Solanales; Solanaceae. The record is from RNAcentral.